CAGUCGCCACGGGAAUACAGAGGGUGCGAGCGUUAAUCGGAUUUACUGGGCGUAAAGCGUGCGUAGGCGGCUUUUUAAGUCGGAUGUGAAAUCCCUGAGCUUAACUUAGGAAUUGCAUUCGAUACUGGGAAGCUAGAGUAUGGGAGAGGAUGGUAGAAUUCCAGGUGUAGCGGUGAAAUGCGUAGAGAUCUGGAGGAAUACCGAUGGCGAAGGCAGCCAUCUGGCCUAAUACUGACGCUGAGGUACGAAAGCAUGGGGAGCAAACAGGAUUAGAUACCCCAGUAGUCCCUGUCUCUUAUAC
This 301-nucleotide ribosomal RNA is filed under the name uncultured bacterium. RNAcentral's name for it is "partial 16S ribosomal RNA". It matches the Rfam family "Bacterial small subunit ribosomal RNA", at positions 509 to 807 of the family's 1533-position model. The record is from RNAcentral.